CACGGACUAUCGCUAACCUCUAUCACUUCUAGUUCCAGCAUCUUGUCCACUUCGGUCCAGAGCACUUCCUGCAUCGCGGGGGAUUGAGGGUAGUGUCGAUCUUUAAAAGGCUCCGCGCCCUCUACCAACUGGAUCCCAUGCUCCUCUACCGUCGUUGACCUCAAUCCGGCAUCUUCGUAAGUCAGGAACUCCUUCUUCACCUCGUCCAGUUCUUCAGCUUCCUUCUCUUCCAGGUCCCACGCGUCCACAUGUACGUUCUCCUGGUCGUCUUCGGCAUAUUGGCUGAUCUGUGACAUCUGGACUUCGGAUAUUUUGCCAUCGCUGGUCGAACUUGGAUUCGCUCCGAGGACUGUCGGAGCCACUGCGAACGACCUCCAAAAAUCGAUCCCCAAGUACAUGACUUACUCCAAGUAUGGGCAGAUGUAAAAGAGAAUUUCCUUGCUGAUUCCUUUGUACUCCACCGGGAUUCUCACUUUGCCGAUCGCUUUGGGUCACGUCCUGACCCACGCCUGACUGCUUCAACACUCCUUGCGAGUGUGUCUCCUUUGCCGGAAGCGUGCACGGUCCUUCUGGAGUCUACUGCUGACACCUCGCAUUCCAUUCAUCUGGUGUCCGUCAAAGAUCC
RNAcentral lists this long non-coding RNA (625 nucleotides) under Drosophila guanche. The record is from RNAcentral. Lineage: Eukaryota; Metazoa; Arthropoda; Insecta; Diptera; Drosophilidae.